UACGUAGGGGGCGAGCGUUAUCCGGAUUUAUUGGGCGUAAAGCGUGUGUAGGCGGUUUAUUAAGUUUAAGAUUAAAGUCCGAGGCUUAACCUCGGUUCGUCUUAAAAACUGGUAGACUUGAGUAUAGUAGAGGCAAGUGGAAUUUCUAGUGUAGCGGUUAAAUGCGUAGAUAUUAGAAGGAACACCAGUGGCGAAGGCGGCUUGCUGGGCUAUCACUGACGCUGAGACACGAAAGCGUGGGGAGCAAAUAGG
RNAcentral lists this ribosomal RNA (252 nucleotides) under uncultured bacterium. RNAcentral describes it as "partial 16S ribosomal RNA". It matches the Rfam family "Bacterial small subunit ribosomal RNA", at positions 524 to 776 of the family's 1533-position model. The record is from RNAcentral.